UCCGACAGGAAUUCGCCACGCGAGUCCG
This 28-nucleotide small RNA is filed under the name Bombyx mori (domestic silkworm). RNAcentral describes it as "ovarian small RNA-27455". The record is from RNAcentral. Lineage: Eukaryota; Metazoa; Arthropoda; Insecta; Lepidoptera; Bombycidae.